AGAAAGAAACAUGGUUUUUCUAGACAACAAAGCACCUUGACCUAAGAGAUUAAACUAUUCAAAUCAUGCAUAUAAGUUUCUCUUUUGCUUCACUUAAAUUACAACCACUUUCUAACUUAUAACCCAACUUUCUUUCAUUCAAUUCUCUUUUCUUUCUUCUUUUUCCUCAGUUUUCUAUUUUUCUAAUUUUUUCUCAAACCCUUAAAAAACAAAUUCCCCCAAACUUUAAACCAUUCUCCUG
This 241-nucleotide long non-coding RNA is filed under the name Vigna radiata. Its description in RNAcentral is "long non-coding RNA (VRAD_LNC001328)". The record is from RNAcentral. Lineage: Eukaryota; Viridiplantae; Streptophyta; Magnoliopsida; Fabales; Fabaceae.